AGAACGAACGCUGGCGGCAUGCCUAAUACAUGCAAGUCGAACGAACACUUCGGUGUUAGUGGCGCACGGGUGCGUAACGCGUGGGAAUCUGCCCUUGGGUUCGGAAUAACAGUUGGAAACGACUGCUAAUACCGGAUGAUAUCGAAAGAUCAAAGAUUUAUCGCCCAGGGAUGAGCCCGCGUAGGAUUAGCUAGUUGGUGAGGUAAAGGCUCACCAAGGCGACGACUCUAGCGUGUCGUGAGAGUAUGACUACACGACCACUACGGU
Molecule: ribosomal RNA, 267 nt
Filed under: uncultured soil bacterium
Lineage: Bacteria
Description: partial 16S ribosomal RNA
Rfam family: Bacterial small subunit ribosomal RNA
Source: RNAcentral